CUUCGCUGUGGGAUCUAGAGCUAGAGGCGUCGCUCUAAUGGCUGCGGAGCGGAUAUAUACAGAGGUCCAGGAUUACUAUGGCAAAGAGUUGAAGAAAAAAGAAGACCUAAAAACCAAUGCCUGUUGUACUGUAGCAAGGCCUUUGCCCACAUUCGCCAGAGAAGCCCUACAAUGUGUGCAUGAGGAGGUUUCGGCAAAGUACUAUGGUUGUGGCCUGGUGAUCCCAGAAUGCCUAGAAGACUCCCGGAUUUUGGAUUUGGGCUGUGGGAGUGGAAGAGACUGUUAUAUGCUCAGUAAGAUGGUUGGGGAGAAUGGACAUGUGACCGGGGUAGACAUGACUGAAUCCCAGGUGGAAGUGGCAAAGAAGCAUAUCGAUUAUCAUAUGAACAAAUUUGGCUACCGGAAGCCCAAUGUAAACUUUAUCCAGGGCUACAUGGAGAAACUGGGUGAAGCAGGCUUGAUGGACGAAAGCUAUAACCUUGUAAUCUCCAACUGCGUGGUCAAUCUGUCCCCUGAUAAAAGAGCUGUCCUGCAUGAAGCUUAUCGUGUGUUAAAGGCAGGCGGGGAGAUGUAUUUCAGUGAUGUCUAUGCCAACCGUGACCUGCCACAGGAAACCAGGAACCAUAAAGUCUUGUGGGGUGAGUGCCUAGGGGGAGCCCUGUGGUGGAAGGAUCUGUACAAAAUUGCUGAGGAAGUUGGAUUUUUGCCACCUCGGUUGGUUGCUGCCUCUCGAAUAACCCUUGCUAACAAGGAGCUGGAAAAUGCUGUGGGUGACUUCCAGUUUGUUUCUGCUACUUUUCGCCUCUUCAAGAUCCCCAAGGAUGGGUCAGCUCAGCGGUGUGAAGCGAUUUACAAAGGAGGAAUCCCUGGGCAUGAGAAGGAACUAGAGCUUGACAUUAACUACAGGUUCAAGCAAGGAGAAGUGGUGGAUGUGGAUGAGGAGACAGCAGCUAUUCUACAGAACUCAAGAUUUUCUAGGAAAUUCCUGAUCCAGCCAGUGGGGCAGAAGGUCUCAUCCCCAGAAGGCUAUAUGCCUGGGAAGCAAAAGGGAGCUGCUGAGCUGACAAAACAGGAGCUACAGAUAGCGAUAGAUCGUUGUAGCUUCAGCAUUAGGACUUUGAACCUACAUAUUUCUAAACUCGAUCUGUAUGAACUGAGAUAACUCUGGCAGGGUUUGAUUAAACAAGCACCAGGAGGAAAGGCAUUCAAAAAGACAGAGCUUAUGUCAAGGUCUGUUUGUGGAUCACUGAGAAACCAAGUGGCAGAUAGAAGAACAAGUUCACAUAUAUCAGAUAAUUUUGUUUAAGCAUUCGUUAGUGGUGGCGGCUGGUAAGUAUUCGAGUUGGUGAGGUGGUGACCAGGGCAACUAAUGGGAGGCAGAGGCAGGCAGUCCCUGAAAGCAGAGUCAUACAAAUGUAAGAAGAGCCUGCUGGAUCAGGCCAAUGGCCCAUCCUAGUCCAGCAUCCUGUUCUCACAGAUGCCUGUGGGAAACCCACGAGCAGGACCAGAGCACAAGAAAAGUCUCCCCUCCUGUGGCUUCUGAGCAACUAGUUUUCAGAAGUAUUGCUGCCUUGGCACGUGUAGGCAGAGCAUAGCCAUCAGGACUAGAAGCCAUUGAUAGC
RNA transcript from Podarcis raffonei (Aeolian wall lizard), 1622 nucleotides. It is a transcript of the gene named arsenite methyltransferase, with no coding region annotated. The transcript is spliced from 12 exons. NCBI's taxonomy places the organism in Eukaryota, Metazoa, Chordata, Lepidosauria, Squamata, Lacertidae. The record is from RefSeq and is a predicted model, not a curated record.